GUGCCAGCAGCCGCGGUAAUACAGAGGUGGCAAGCGUUGUUCGGAAUUACUGGGCGUAAAGGGCGCGUAGGCGGCUCGACAAGUCCCGCGUGAAAGCCCCCGGCUCAACUGGGGAACUGCGCGGGAAACUGUCGGACUUGAGUUCGGGAGAGGGAAGCGGAAUUCCGGGUGUAGCGGUGAAAUGCGUAGAUAUCCGGAGGAACACCGGUGGCGAAGGCGGCUUCCUGGACCGACACUGACGCUGAGGCGCGAAAGCUAGGGGAGCAAACGGGAUUAGAUACCCCGGUAGUCC
Molecule: ribosomal RNA, 292 nt
Filed under: uncultured bacterium
Lineage: Bacteria
Description: partial 16S ribosomal RNA
Rfam family: Bacterial small subunit ribosomal RNA
Source: RNAcentral